CGGGUGAGUAACACGUGGAUAACCUACCUAUAAGACUGGGAUAACUUCGGGAAACCGGAGCUAAUACCGGAUAAUAUUUUGAACCGCAUGGUUCAAAAGUAAAAGACGGUCUUGCUGUCACUUAUGGAUGGAUCCGCGCUGCAUUAGCUAGUUGGUAAGGUAACGGCUUACCAAGGCAACGAUGCAUAGCCGACCUGAGAGGGUGAUCGGCCACACUGGAACUGAGACACGGUCCAG
Molecule: ribosomal RNA, 237 nt
Filed under: uncultured Staphylococcus sp.
Lineage: Bacteria; Bacillati; Bacillota; Bacilli; Caryophanales; Staphylococcaceae
Description: partial 16S ribosomal RNA
Rfam family: Bacterial small subunit ribosomal RNA
Source: RNAcentral